This 269-nucleotide ribosomal RNA is filed under the name uncultured prokaryote. RNAcentral's name for it is "partial 16S ribosomal RNA". It matches the Rfam family "Archaeal small subunit ribosomal RNA", at positions 474 to 743 of the family's 1478-position model. The record is from RNAcentral.
UACCUGCAGCUCAAGUGGUGACCACUAUUAUUGGGCCUAAAACGUCCGUAGCCGGUUUAGUAAAUGCCUGGGUAAAUCGAGCCGCUUAACGGUUCGAAUUCCGGGUAGACUGCUAAACUUGAGACCGGGAGAGGCUAGAGGUACUCCUGGGGUAGAGGUGAAAUUCUGUAAUCCUGGGGGGACCACCAGUGGCGAAGGCGUCUAGCUAGAACGGGUCUGACGGUGAGGGACGAAGCCCUGGGGCGCAAACCGGAUUAGAUACCCCCGUA